UGCCCAGCAACUCUUAUCCCUACCUCCUCGUGGUACUGGCCGGGGUACGAGUAACCUCAGGGAAGAUCGGGUAGCCAACCCCGGUAGGAACUCUGGUCGUAUGCUGACAGGGAAGG
Molecule: non-coding RNA, 116 nt
Organism: Aedes aegypti (yellow fever mosquito)
Lineage: Eukaryota; Metazoa; Arthropoda; Insecta; Diptera; Culicidae
Source: Rfam